AGCGAACGUUAGCGGGAGGCUUAACACAUGCAAGUCGAGCGAGAAAGUCAGCUUCGGUUGGCGAGUAGAGCGGCGGACGGGUGAGUAACACGUGGAUAACCUGCCCUUCAGCGGGGGACAACAGUUCGAAAGGACUGCUAAUACCGCAUACGUCGACCAGUUCUGCGGGACAGGUCGAGAAAGCCUGGGAUCUUCGGACCAGGCACUGAAGGAGGGGUCCGCGUCGCAUCAGCUUGUUGGUGGGGUAAUGGCCUACCAAGGCGAAGACGCGUAGCUGGUCUGAGAGGAUGAUCAGCCACACUGGGACUGAGACACGGCCCAG
Molecule: ribosomal RNA, 322 nt
Filed under: uncultured bacterium
Lineage: Bacteria
Description: bacterial SSU rRNA
Rfam family: Bacterial small subunit ribosomal RNA
Source: RNAcentral